Molecule: non-coding RNA, 118 nt
Filed under: Fibrocapsa japonica
Lineage: Eukaryota; Raphidophyceae; Chattonellales; Chattonellaceae
Source: RNAcentral
AUGCUGAGCUACUCCCGCCUGGCCCUGGUGGUCCUCAACCUCCAGGGGAACAGGCUGGGUGGUCUGGGGCUGUUGUCGGUGUGUCCCGGAUUGUCGAGGAACCGAUCCCUCACUUACC